Molecule: small nucleolar RNA, 160 nt
Filed under: Ursus maritimus (polar bear)
Lineage: Eukaryota; Metazoa; Chordata; Mammalia; Carnivora; Ursidae
Also listed under: 1 other name
Description: Small nucleolar RNA U3
Rfam family: Small nucleolar RNA U3 (bases 1-41)
Source: Rfam by way of RNAcentral
AAGACUAUACUUUCAGGGAUCAUUUCUAUAGUUUGUUACUUUUGUGAAGCAAGAGUAUAACUGUAUUAUCUUAUUUUAUUUUAUUUUAUUUUAUUUGAGAGAGAGAAAGCAUGAGCUGGGGGGAGGGUGAGAGGGAGAAGCAGACUCCUCGCUGAGCAGG